GAUGAACGCUGGCGGCGUGCCUAACACAUGCAAGUCGAGCGAACAGACCAGGAGCUUGCUCCGUUCACGUUAGCGGCGGACGGGAGAGUAACACGUGGAUAACCUACCUGUAAGAGUGGUAUAACCUCGGGAAUCCGGAUCUAAUCCCGUAGAAUAUACUGAACCGCAUGGUUGAAUAGAGAAAGACGGCUUUGCUGGCAGUUAUAGCUGGAUCCGCGCCGCCUGAGCUAGUUGGUAGGGUAACGGCUUAUCAGGGCAACGAUGCGUAGACGACCUGACAGGCUGAUCGCCCACACUAGAGGUGAGACCCGGUCCAGAGUCCUGCGGGAGGCACCAGUCGGGAAUCUUCCGCAAUGGGCGCCAGCCUGGCCGACCGACCCCGCGCCAGUGGUGGACGCCCUGGGUGCGUAAAGCUCUGUUCUGAGGUCAAAACAGCUUUCUCAGUCACCAUGCACGUCUUGACGGUACCUAGUAAAGAAGCACCGGCUAACUACGUG
This 497-nucleotide ribosomal RNA is filed under the name uncultured bacterium. RNAcentral describes it as "partial 16S ribosomal RNA". It matches the Rfam family "Bacterial small subunit ribosomal RNA", at positions 28 to 507 of the family's 1533-position model. The record is from RNAcentral.